UACAGAGGUCUCAAGCGUUGUUCGGAUUCAUUGGGCGUAAAGGGUGCGUAGGUGGCGAGGCAAGUCUGGUGUGAAAUCCCGGGGCUCAACCCCCGGAACUGCACUGGAUACUGCCUUGCUUGAGCACUGGAGAGGGAACUGGAAUUUACGGUGUAGCAGUGAAAUGCGUAGAUAUCGUAAGGAAGACCAGUGGCGAAGGCGAGUUCCUGGACAGUUGCUGACACUGAGGCACGAAGGCUAGGGGAGCAAACGGG
This 254-nucleotide ribosomal RNA is filed under the name uncultured bacterium. RNAcentral's name for it is "partial 16S ribosomal RNA". It matches the Rfam family "Bacterial small subunit ribosomal RNA", at positions 524 to 776 of the family's 1533-position model. The record is from RNAcentral.